RNAcentral lists this ribosomal RNA (440 nucleotides) under uncultured bacterium. Its description in RNAcentral is "partial 16S ribosomal RNA". It matches the Rfam family "Bacterial small subunit ribosomal RNA", at positions 338 to 795 of the family's 1533-position model. The record is from RNAcentral.
CCUACGGGAGGCAGCAGUGGGGAAUAUUGCACAAUGGGGGAAACCCUGAUGCAGCCAUGCCGCGUGAAUGAAGAAGUAUUUCGGUAUGUAAAGCUCUAUCAGCGGGGAAGAAAAUGACGGUACCUGACUAAGAAGCCCCGGCUAACUACGUGCCAGCAACCUCGGUAAUACGUAGGGGGCACGCGUUAUCCGGAUUUACUGGGCGUAAAGGGAGCGUAGACGGUGAUGCAAGUCAGAAGUGAAAGCCCGGGGCUCAACUCCGGGACUGCUUUUGAGACUGUGUGACUGGAGUGCAGGAGAGGGAAGUGGAAUUCCUGGUGUAGCGGUGAAAUGCGUAGAUAUCAGGAGGAACACCAGUGGCGAAGGCGGCUUACUGGACUGUAACUGACGUUGAGGUUCGAAAGCGUGGGGAGCAAACAGGAUUAGAUACCCCAGUAGUC